Molecule: transfer RNA, 74 nt
Filed under: bacterium
Lineage: Bacteria
Also listed under: 1 other name
Description: tRNA-Ile
Rfam family: tRNA
About the family: Transfer RNA (tRNA) molecules are approximately 80 nucleotides in length.
Source: RNAcentral
GCGGGUGUAGCUCAGUUGGUUAGAGCGCGUCACUGAUAAUGACGAGGUCCUAGGUUCAAAUCCUAGCAUCCGCA